AGGGAAUAUUGCACAAUGGAGGAAACUCUGAUGCAGCGACGCCGCGUGAGUGACGAAGGCCUUCGGGUUGUAAAGCUCUGUUCUCUGGGAAAAAGAAAGCGAUUGUACCAGAGAAGAAAGGACCGGCUAACUUCGUGCCAGCAGCCGCGGUAAGACGAGGGGUCCAAGCGUUGUUCGGAAUUAUUGGGCGUAAAGCGGGUGUAGGUGGCUCUAUAAGUCAGGAGUGAAAUCCCCAAGCUUAACUUGGGAAGUGCUUUUGAUACUGCAGAGCUUGAAUGUGGGAGAGGAUAAUAGAAUUCCAGGUGUAGUGGUGAAAUACGUAGAUAUCUGGAGGAAUACCGGUGGCGAAGGCGGUUAUCUGGCCCAACAUUGACACUGAGGCCCGAAAGCGUGGGGAUCAAAC
Molecule: ribosomal RNA, 403 nt
Filed under: uncultured bacterium
Lineage: Bacteria
Description: bacterial SSU rRNA
Rfam family: Bacterial small subunit ribosomal RNA
Source: RNAcentral